Molecule: long non-coding RNA, 863 nt
Filed under: Sorghum bicolor (sorghum)
Lineage: Eukaryota; Viridiplantae; Streptophyta; Magnoliopsida; Poales; Poaceae
Description: long non-coding RNA (SBIC_LNC007699)
Source: RNAcentral
CCUUCCAUUGAGUUUGGCUAGGGGCUGUCUUUUGUACAAUUUUUUUUGUUGUUUCUUCCGUGUUGCAAUAGGUUUGUUGUGAUGUUGCGACAGAUGAUUUCUGAAUGUUGCAAUGGAAUUUUUGGGUCAUUACAAUAGAUUUUUUUCGAUGUUGCAGCACAUAAUUUUUAAUGUUGUAGUACAUAUUUUUUUCAAUGUUGCAGUACUUGUUUUUUUUACGAUGUUGUAGUACUUAUUUUUUCGAUGUUGCACUACAUAUUAUAUGUUGUUGAAGUAUUUUGCAGUGUUUGUUUUUCAAUGUUGCAAUACAUAUUUUUGUGAUAUUACAAUAUUUACAAUCCAAUGUUGCACUAUAUAAGUUUUCCAUAUAUUUUUGCAAUGUUGCAAUUGAAAUGUUUCAUGCUCAUUUGGGACAAGGGCACGGUGGGGAAUGAGCUGCGUUAGGGAACUGGGGACAGGGUGCAGCGGGGAGCGGAGGACAUGUGCAAGCGGUAGACAGGCUCCCGUGCGUGGGAGGGACAAGUAGGGUUCAUAACGGACCGACUCAUGUGUCAAAGGUGAGUGGGAUUCGUAAUGGACCAGCGUCCGGAUGCACUCACAUGUUGGACGUCUGGGCGCUAGAUAUACCAAUAAAAAAACCAUCUCCAAGAGUUUCCAAUCCCACCUAAUCUUUUGGUAAUUGAAAAAAAAAUCACCGAACGAGCGGAUAUAUCUGUUCGUACAUCAGUCUCUCAAUCUAAGGUGGAAGGACAUGGAAAAGAAUAAAGGGCACAAAAGAGUUGUAAAUUGGUCCUGAAAUAUAGAGCUAAAGAAUAUAUAAAAUGCUGGAGUAUCAUACCUCUUUGUCCUGAAAUAUAGAGCAU